Molecule: ribosomal RNA, 253 nt
Filed under: uncultured bacterium
Lineage: Bacteria
Description: partial 16S ribosomal RNA
Rfam family: Bacterial small subunit ribosomal RNA
Source: RNAcentral
UACGUAGGGGGCUAGCGUUGUCCGGAAUCAUUGGGCGUAAAGCGCGCGUAGGCGGCCCGGUAAGUCCGCUGUAAAAGUCAAAGGCUCAACCUUUGAAUGUCAGUGGAUACUGCCGGGCUAGAGUCCGGAGGAGGCGAGUGGAACUCCUGGUGUAGCGGUGGAAUGCGCAGAUAUCAGGAAGAACACCGACGGCGAAGGCAGCUCGCUGGGACGGUACUGACGCUGAGGCGCGAAAGCGUGGGGAGCGAACAGG